UUUUCUCGAACAAGCAAAUUUAUGAAUUGGUCACGAACCUUGAUGCCUUUGAACACUUUUUAUUUGGGUAGUUCAUCGAAAAAACAAAGAGGAACAAGAAAGAGAAGAAAAGUGGUUGUUAGAGGGGUUUAAGGAGGAGAGAGGGAUGCUAAUCAAGGCAUGGACAUUGCAACCUUUGAUGUUUAGCCAACAUAGGAGGAUUUGUGACACACUACGGGUGGUUCACCAAAAAAAUAAAUCAGAAUAAGAUGAAGGGGAGAAAAAGUGGUUGCCAAAGGGGUUUGAAAAGAAGAUAGGGAAAGAGAAGAAAGGGAUGUUGAUCAAGGGACACUGCAAUCUUUGAUCUUAAGCCACCCUAGUGUGAGCAAUGUAGGUGGAACAUGGUGGUAAAGGCCUCAGUAGUGGCAUUCCAAUAUUGAUCAUGUUGGGAUUUAGUGAUCAAUGUUACAAUGAGAAGCUUAUAAAUGAAGGUGCACGAGUUUGGGUGGAGGUGGGUGUAGGAAGUGAUGGUGUGAAGGUUUCCGAUGGCAGUAAGAGUGACAAAGGUUAAGGUGACAACGAGUGGGAUGUGGUGGAGGUAGAGGAACAAGAUGAAGAGUUAGAGGUAGUGGUGCAUUUAGAGAAGAAAAGGGAGAAUAAAAUACCAAUUAUGUUAUAUGUUUUGCUCUAUUGUUAACCAAUUUGACAUCCUUAACAAAUAAGACCAAAUUGACUCUAUUUAAAACAUAUAAGGCCUCGAUAGAGUAAAAAAGUAUAUAGGAGAAAAAAG
Molecule: long non-coding RNA, 769 nt
Filed under: Vigna radiata
Lineage: Eukaryota; Viridiplantae; Streptophyta; Magnoliopsida; Fabales; Fabaceae
Description: long non-coding RNA (VRAD_LNC006020)
Source: RNAcentral